This 550-nucleotide ribosomal RNA is filed under the name uncultured bacterium. RNAcentral's name for it is "bacterial SSU rRNA". It matches the Rfam family "Bacterial small subunit ribosomal RNA", at positions 355 to 896 of the family's 1533-position model. The record is from RNAcentral.
UAGGGAAUCUUCGGCAAUGGACGGAAGUCUGACCGAGCAACGCCGCGUGAGUGAAGAAGGUUUUCGGAUCGUAAAGCUCUGUUGUAAGGGAAGAACGAGUGUGAGAGUGGAAAGUUCACACUGUGACGGUAUCUUACCAGAAAGGGACGGCUAACUACGUGCCAGCAGCCGCGGUAAUACGUAGGUCCCGAGCGUUGUCCGGAUUUAUUGGGCGUAAAGCGAGCGCAGGCGGUUAGAUAAGUCUGAAGUUAAAGGCUGUGGCUUAACCAUAGUACGCUUUGGAAACUGUUUAACUUGAGUGCAAGAGGGGAGAGUGGAAUUCCAUGUGUAGCGGUGAAAUGCGUAGAUAUAUGGAGGAACACCGGUGGCGAAAGCGGCUCUCUGGCUUGUAACUGACGCUGAGGCUCGAAAGCGUGGGGAGCAAACAGGAUUAGAUACCCUGGUAGUCCACGCCGUAAACGAUGAGUGCUAGGUGUUAGACCCUUUCCGGGGUUUAGUGCCGUAGCUAACGCAUUAAGCACUCCGCCUGGGGAGUACGACCGCAAGGUUG